AGGAUAAAAGUUUUAUAACAUUUAAUUUGCAUUUAAAAAAUAUUGAAUAAUCAAUUUAUCUUA
Molecule: transfer RNA, 63 nt
Filed under: Dinoderus minutus
Lineage: Eukaryota; Metazoa; Arthropoda; Insecta; Coleoptera; Bostrichidae
Description: tRNA-Ala
Source: RNAcentral